RNAcentral lists this ribosomal RNA (253 nucleotides) under uncultured bacterium. Its description in RNAcentral is "partial 16S ribosomal RNA". It matches the Rfam family "Bacterial small subunit ribosomal RNA", at positions 524 to 776 of the family's 1533-position model. The record is from RNAcentral.
UACGGGGGGGGCAAGCGUUGUUCGGAAUUACUGGGCGUAAAGGGCCAGUAGGCGGCCAACUAAGUCGGAUGUGAAAUCCCUAGGCUCAACUUGGGAACUGCAUCCGAUACUGGAUGGCUUGAAUUCGGGAGAGGGAUGCAGAAUUCCUGGUGUAGCGGUGGAAUGCGCAGAUAUCAGGAGGAACACCGAUGGCGAAGGCAGCUCGCUGGGACGGUACUGACGCUGAGGCGCGAAAGCGUGGGGAGCGAACAGG